This 440-nucleotide ribosomal RNA is filed under the name uncultured bacterium. RNAcentral describes it as "partial 16S ribosomal RNA". It matches the Rfam family "Bacterial small subunit ribosomal RNA", at positions 338 to 795 of the family's 1533-position model. The record is from RNAcentral.
CCUACGGGAGGCAACAGUGGGGAAUAUUGGACAAUGGGGGGAACCCUGAUGCAGCGACGCCGCGUGAGUGAAGAAGGAUUUCGGUAUGUAAAGCUCUAUCAGCAGGGAAGAAAAUGACGGUACCUGACUAAUAAGCACCGGCUAACUACGUGCCAGCAGCCGCGGUAAUACGUAGGGGGCAAGCGUUAUCCGGAUUUACUGGGUGUAAAGGGAGCGUAGACGGUGCAGCAAGUCUGAUGUGAAAGGUCGGGGCGCAACCCCGGGACUGCAUUGGAAACUGUUGAACUGGAGUACAGGAGAGGUAAGUGGAAUUCCUAGUGUAGCGGUGAAAUGCGUAGAGAUUAGGAGGAACACCAGUGGCGAAGGCGGCUUACUAGACUGUAACUGACGUUGAGGCUCGAAAGCGUGGGGAGCAAACAGGAUUAGAUACCCGAGUAGUC